GAUGAACGCUGGCGGUAUGCUUAACACAUGCAAGUCGAACGCAGACUUUCGGGUCUGAGUGGCGGACGGGUGAGUAACGCGUGAGAAUCUGGAUUCAGGUUGGGGACAACCACGGGAAACGGUGGCUAAUACCCAAUGUGCCGUUAAGGUGAAAGAUUAAUUGCCUGAAGAUGAGCUCGCGUCUGAUUAGCUAGUUGGUGGGGUAAGAGCUCACCAAGGCGACGAUCCGUAGCUGGUCUGAGAGGACGAUCAGCCACACUGGAACUGAGACAAGGUCCAGACUCAUACGGGAGGAAGCAGUAGGGAAUCUUGAGCAAUGGGGGAAAGCCUGACGGAGCAACGCCGCGUGAGUGAUGAAGGUCUUCGGAUCGUAAAACUCUGUUAUUAGGGAAGAACAAAUGUGUAAGUAACUAUGCACGUCUUGACGGUACCUAAUCAGAAAGCCACGGCUAACUACGUG
This 460-nucleotide ribosomal RNA is filed under the name uncultured bacterium. Its description in RNAcentral is "partial 16S ribosomal RNA". It matches the Rfam family "Bacterial small subunit ribosomal RNA", at positions 28 to 507 of the family's 1533-position model. The record is from RNAcentral.